GAGUGAGGGGCGUGUCAAUGCGAGGUGUUCUCAUGUGUAAGGGGUGUGGUCAGAGAGUGAAGGGUGUGGUCAGGCUUACCCGUGUGAUUGGCUGUGUGUGAUGAUUUGUGUUUAGAAUGUAAGGAGGUGUGGUCAGGGAGUGAGGGGCGUGUCAAUGUGAGGUGAUGUCAUUUGUAAAAGGGUGUGGUCAGAGUGAGGGGUGUAGUCAGGCUUACCCGUGUGAUUGGCUGUGUGUGAUGAUUUGUGUUUAGAGUGUAAGGAGGUGUGGUCAGAGAGUGAGGGGCGUUGUUUCAUUUGAAAAGGGGUGUGGUCAGAGAGUGAGGGGUGUGGUCAGGCUUACCCGUGUGAUUGGCUGUGUGUGAUGAUUUGUGUUUAGAGUGUAAGGAGGUGUGGUCAGAAAGUGAGGGGCGUGUCAAUGUGAGGUGUGGUCAUGUGUAAGGGGGUGUGGUCAGAGAGUGAGGGGUGUGGUCAUGCUCACCUGUGUGAUCGUCUGUGUGUGAUGAUUAGUGUUUAGAGUGUAAGGGGGUGUGGUCAGAGAGUGAGGGGCGUGUCAAUGUGAGGUGAUGUCAUUUGUAAAGGGGUGU
Long non-coding RNA from Sinocyclocheilus rhinocerous, 584 nucleotides. RefSeq lists it as uncharacterized. The transcript is spliced from 4 exons. NCBI's taxonomy places the organism in Eukaryota, Metazoa, Chordata, Actinopteri, Cypriniformes, Cyprinidae. The record is from RefSeq and is a predicted model, not a curated record.